CCCAACAACACUUCCAUUACUCUCUUCAUUUUUAUACUAACCGGCCAAUAGCCUAACUCAAAACACUCCUACUUUGUCUCUUUUCAUUUCUCAAUUUCAAAUUCAUUUUUCUAUACAAACGGUAUUGAAAAAUGGGAGUUCGAGUGCAGGAGUAGCUAUUCUUAAUUAUUUAAACUCAUCUGUUUUUGUUAUUCGACAAUAUUACAAGUCAUAAUAUAAUCAGAUUCGGUCACAUGUCUUCUUUUAACUACAUUGCAACGCAUCAAUAUGAUAAUGUGAGUGUGGUUUUGUUCUAAAUGUAAGGAACUUUCUUUUUGGGAUAUGAAUAUAAAAAGGGAAGACCCAAAUUGAAUGUAAUAUAAUAUUGAGGGCUCACACAUAAUAUAAAAGGGUUAUAGAGGAAGGGGUCGUGUCAAGUUAUUAAGCAACUAGACCCCCCCACCACCUCGUUCUGAUCACUUAUUGGCAAUCCUAAUUGAGCACCCAUUCUCGUAAAUCCAACACGUGGUCUCUUGGUACAUGUUUGAGGUGGGCCUCCCUGCCUCCUUCUCCUCCCUAUAUAUACACUCCAUCUCUCUCACCUGUUUCUUCAAAUCUCACACUCUCUCAUUCCAUCUCAGUGUCUGCCUCAGCCACCCUCUCUCUCUCUCUCUCUCUACAAACCCAAACCAAAAGCAGACCAUAAAAACACACACAAUCUCUCUCUCUCUCUCAACCCAACAAGCACAAAAUACACAAGUUUACUUGCCCUUCACGGCCAAUCAAGAGCCACCAUUCUCUACUCUUUACUAGCGCUGGCUUUUUUAUUUCCUUUGUUUAAUUUACUAAAAUAGAGAAACCAUGCCUUCCACUGCUGCAGCAAUAACAGGCACAUGGGUUAAGCCUGUUACUACUAGAAGACACCACCUUUCUUCUACAUACUCUUCAAAUUUAGCUACAAACCAAUUGGGUUUUCCCCCCUCUUCCUCCUCCAGCUCAAUUUUCUUCAGCAGAAAACCCAUUCACAGAAAAUCAACCCCAGACACACUCACUUGCUCUCUCCAAGCCCCCUCUCUUCUCCAAAUCCCCAACCACACCCCUUCCUAUCAGCCGCCUUCCUCAUCUUCAUCAACCACCCUUUUCACUCCCUCCACAACCUCAAACCCAAAAGAAAACAAGACCCAACCUUCUUCUAAAUCCUCAAAGCCAGUACCCCAGCAAUGGAACUUCCUACAGAGAGCAGCAGCCAUGGCCUUGGACGCAAUGGAGAGCGCUCUGCUAUCAAAAGAGCAGCAACACCCACUUCCCAAAACAGCUGACCCAAAAGUCCAAAUCGCCGGAAACUUUGCUCCAGUACCGGAGCACCCGGUUGAACACUCUCUGCCAGUCACCGGAAAAAUCCCGGCCUCAAUCCAAGGCGUCUACGUCCGCAACGGUGCCAACCCACUUCACGAGCCGGUCGCCGGCCACCACUUCUUCGACGGCGACGGCAUGGUCCACGCCCUGCAAUUCAAAGAAGGGGCCGCCAGCUACGCCUGCAGGUUCACCGAAACGCACCGUUUUAGGCAGGAGCGCGACCUCGGGCGUCCCCUGUUCCCAAAAGCCAUUGGCGAGCUCCACGGCCAUUCCGGUAUCGCCCGCCUCCUCCUCUUCUACGCGCGCGGCAUGUUCAGCCUCGUGGAUCCCACCCACGGCAUCGGCGUCGCCAACGCCGGCCUCGUCUACUUCAACGGUCGCCUGCUCGCCAUGUCGGAAGACGACUUGCCGUAUCACAUUAAAAUCACCGAAACAGGGGACCUCAAAACGGUCGGUCGUUACGACUUCGAUAAACAGCUCAAGUCCACAAUGAUAGCCCACCCGAAAGUGGACCCCACCACUGGCGAGCUCUUCGCGCUCAGCUACGACGUCGUUCAGAGGCCUUACUUGAAGUACUUCAAGUUCUCGCCGGACGGCGAGAAAUCCCCCGACGUCGAAAUCAAUCUUGACCAGCCCACCAUGAUGCACGACUUCGCUAUCACA
This 1998-nucleotide long non-coding RNA is filed under the name Prunus persica (peach). Its description in RNAcentral is "long non-coding RNA (PPER_LNC004106)". Lineage: Eukaryota; Viridiplantae; Streptophyta; Magnoliopsida; Rosales; Rosaceae. The record is from RNAcentral.